This 208-nucleotide ribosomal RNA is filed under the name uncultured Treponema sp. RNAcentral's name for it is "partial 16S ribosomal RNA". It matches the Rfam family "Bacterial small subunit ribosomal RNA", at positions 568 to 775 of the family's 1533-position model. Lineage: Bacteria; Pseudomonadati; Spirochaetota; Spirochaetia; Treponematales; Treponemataceae. The record is from RNAcentral.
CAUGUAGGCGGUUUUGUAAGCCUGGUGUGAAAUCCUGCAGCUUAACUGUAGAAUUGCAUUGGGUACUGCAAGACUUGAAUCACAGAGGGGAAACUAGAAUUCCAGGUGUAGGGGUGGAAUCUGUAGAUAUCUGGAAGAAUACCGGUGGCGAAGGCGGGUUUCUAGCUGAUGAUUGACGCUGAGGUGCGAAAGUGCGGGGAGCAAACAG